UGUAAUGAUUCUGCGUCACAGAUAAACAAGGUUACCGUGCCGGAAUUUUUAGUCCAGGCCGUUUUUUGUUUCGUCUGUUUAUCGGCAGGACAAGUAUUUUUGUGUUUCAUGUCUCUCCCGCAUUUACACUAUAAUGUCAAAUUGUAUCGAUCGAAAGCGCAUUUGAUUGAUGUAACUGAGAUCUUUGAUAACAAGUUCAACUGGAAAGAGGAACGACUUAUUAAAUUUGGCUAUCUUAUUAUCAUUUUUGUUUUUUUUUUUAUCUAUGUUGCUUUGUGUUGUAGGACUUUAUGAUUGUUAAACAGGUUU
This is a long non-coding RNA of Hibiscus syriacus, 309 nucleotides long. RefSeq lists it as uncharacterized. Lineage: Eukaryota; Viridiplantae; Streptophyta; Magnoliopsida; Malvales; Malvaceae. The transcript is spliced from 3 exons. The record is from RefSeq and is a predicted model, not a curated record.